RNAcentral lists this ribosomal RNA (172 nucleotides) under uncultured bacterium. Its description in RNAcentral is "partial 16S ribosomal RNA". It matches the Rfam family "Bacterial small subunit ribosomal RNA", at positions 1329 to 1500 of the family's 1533-position model. The record is from RNAcentral.
GAAUUGCUAGUAAUCGCAGAUCAGCAUGCUGCGGUGAAUACGUUCCCGGGCCUUGUACACACCGCCCGUCACACCAUGGGAGUCGGUAACACCCGAAGCCUGUAGUCUGACCUUUUGGAGGACGCAGUCGAAGGUGGGAUCGAUGACUGGGGUGAAGUCGUAACAAGGUACC